This 405-nucleotide ribosomal RNA is filed under the name Camaenidae sp. WT7. RNAcentral describes it as "partial 16S ribosomal RNA". It matches the Rfam family "Archaeal large subunit ribosomal RNA", at positions 1900 to 2656 of the family's 2987-position model. The record is from RNAcentral. Lineage: Eukaryota; Metazoa; Mollusca; Gastropoda; Stylommatophora; Camaenidae.
CAAAAACAUAGCUGUAUGAGGUUUAGAUACAGUUUUUUCUGCUCAAUGAGAUAUUUAAUAGCCGCAGUACCCUGACUGUGCUAAGGUAGCAAAAUCAAUUGUCUUCUAAUUAAAGUCGUGUAUGAAUGAAUAUAUGGGGGCAAGCUUUACCGUGCAUAUUAUACAAACUUACUAAUUGAGUGUAAAUUCUCUUACGUUUUCAAUAGACGAGGAGACCCUAGAAAUUUUUUUACAUGUUUUUGUUGGGGCAACAUAGUAGCAUUUAACCUACAUUAUGUAUAUGAAAUUUUUUUGAUAACUAAAAUUACUCUAGGGAUAACAGCAUCAUAUUAAAAUGUUUGUGACCUCGAUGUUGGAUUAGGAAGGUAUGGCUUAGAAGGCUGCUACUUGUGCUCUGUUCGAGCA